RNAcentral lists this ribosomal RNA (109 nucleotides) under Candidatus Margulisiibacteriota bacterium. The record is from RNAcentral. Lineage: Bacteria; Bacillati; Candidatus Margulisiibacteriota.
CUCGGUGCUUUUUGCGGCAAGGAAACACCUGAUCCCAUUCCGAACUCAGCAGUUAAGCUUGCCAGCGCUGAUGGUAUCUCUAACGAGAGAGAGUAGGUCAGUGCCGAGU